UACGUAGGGGGCAAGCGUUAUCCGGAUUUACUGGGUGUAAAGGGAGCGUAGACGGAAUUGCAAGUCUGAUGUGAAAAUCCGGGGCCCAACCCCGGAACUGCAUUGGAAACUGCCAUGCUAGAGUGCUGGAGAGGUAAGUGGAAUUCCUAGUGUAGCGGUGAAAUGCGUAGAUAUUAGGAGGAACACCAGUGGCGAAGGCGGCUUACUGGACAGUAACUGACGUUGAGGCUCGAAAGCGUGGGGAGCAAACAGG
This 253-nucleotide ribosomal RNA is filed under the name uncultured Lachnospiraceae bacterium. RNAcentral's name for it is "partial 16S ribosomal RNA". It matches the Rfam family "Bacterial small subunit ribosomal RNA", at positions 524 to 776 of the family's 1533-position model. Lineage: Bacteria; Bacillati; Bacillota; Clostridia; Lachnospirales; Lachnospiraceae. The record is from RNAcentral.